Molecule: non-coding RNA, 365 nt
Organism: Lepisosteus oculatus (spotted gar)
Lineage: Eukaryota; Metazoa; Chordata; Actinopteri; Semionotiformes; Lepisosteidae
Source: RefSeq, a predicted model, not a curated record
ACAUUGUGUCUUCAGUGGAAGAGGAACAUGAGACUUUUCAUUGUGAGCUGUGUUGCCAAUAUUCCUGUUUCUAGAAUACUGGGAGCUGUUUGGUGAGAAGAGUGAAAUGUUAGUGGCUUGGAAAACUCAACCAGCCCACUGUUCCUGAAGCCAGUUAGUUGAUCCUCUGUGGGACUUGACAAGCUGAGCUGUGGCUUGGAAAUGCAGCAGGAUGCCCGGAAAUCCCAUCCCAUCUUAACGGCAUGCUGUUGUGGCAAAGUGAGAUUCCACAAACAUCCCAUUCCAGAGGACUGUCUCUCAGCUCUUGAGCAGUACCUUACCUGGACAAGUCAGUGGGAAGAUAUGGAGGACUUCCCAUGGCGGCU